GGGCGGCGCGAAGGAAUGAGGGGCCAGCUUGGGCACCGGCGAGCGGGUGCGUAACACGUCUGCUACUUGCCGAUCUGUGUGGAAUAGCCGGCCCAACGGCCGGGUAAUACCGCAUACGCUCAGUCUGUAGCAUUACGGAUCGAGGAAACCUUUUUGGGCGGAUCGAGGGGCUCGCGGCCUAUCAGCUAGUUGGCGAGGUAAUGGCUCACCAAGGCGAUGACGGGUAGCUGGUCUGAGAGGAUGGCCAGCCACAUUGGGACUGAGAUACAGCCCAGACUCCUACGGGAGGCAGCAGUGGGGAAUAUUGCGCAAUGGCCUAACGGCUGACGCAGCGACGCCGCGUGUGGGAUGAAGCCCUUCGGGGUGUAAACCACUGUUGCCCGGGACGAACAGCGAGCUUCAGCUUGCCUGACGGUACCGGGUGAGGAAGCACCGGCUAACUCCGUGCCAGCAGCCGCGGUAAUACGGAGGGUGCGAGCGUUGUCCGGAAUCACUGGGCGUAAAGGGCGCGUAUGUGGUGCGAUAAGUGUGUGGUGAAAGCCCGGGGCUCAACCCCGGGUCUGCCGUGCAAACUGUCGGACUGGAGGACUGCAUAGGCAGGUGGAAUUCCGGGUGUAGCGGUGGAAUGCCUAGAGAUCCGGAAGAAGACCGGUGGCGAAGGCGACCUGCUGGGCAGUUACUGACACUGAGGCGCGACAACGUGGGGAGCAAACAGGAUUAUAUACCCUGGUAGUCCACGCCGUAAACGAUGGGCACUAGGUCUCUGGGGGAGCGACCCCCUGGGGGCCGACGCAAACGCAUGAAGUGCCCCGCCUGGGGAGUGCGGCCGCAAGGCUGAGACUCACAUGAAUUGACGGGG
Molecule: ribosomal RNA, 859 nt
Filed under: uncultured Gemmatimonadota bacterium
Lineage: Bacteria; Pseudomonadati; Gemmatimonadota
Description: bacterial SSU rRNA
Rfam family: Bacterial small subunit ribosomal RNA
Source: RNAcentral